GGCCAGGGCGUAGCUCAGUAGAUAGCGCCCCACCACAGAGACCGAGGUAGCAGUGCCCUGAGGCAGUCUAGCUUAGGGGUCUAGAAGACUAGAAUCAAAAUAUACUAAACUUGUAAAAUAAAUGAUGUAAUAUAUAUAUUGUGAUUGUAAUCGGAAGUGUCAUGUAAACUGAUUUGAGAUGUACUUAGCUGAAUGCUUGUAAUAACAAGUAGAUUAUGUAUUUGAUACUUCCUUAUGCAAUCUGGAUUGAUAUCCGUUCCUUGUUGGAACAUUCGUUGAUUGUUUGGAUUGCGACGCCUUGGACGUACUGGGGAGACUCUGUCCGCGUACAGGGGAAUUCCCGGUCCGUUCGGCGAUCUGUCGUUGGCGCCGCGACCCGGUCCAAAUAGGCAGUUGGUCGCGGGGCGUGACAAGAUGAUACUCUGGUAGUAAGUCUUUG
Molecule: long non-coding RNA, 439 nt
Filed under: Ananas comosus (pineapple)
Lineage: Eukaryota; Viridiplantae; Streptophyta; Magnoliopsida; Poales; Bromeliaceae
Description: long non-coding RNA (ACOM_LNC036715)
Source: RNAcentral